CGGGCUGUAGCGCAGUCUGGUAGCGCGCUUCGUUCGGGACGAAGAGGUCGUGGGUUCGAAUCCCGCCAGCCCGA
RNAcentral lists this transfer RNA (74 nucleotides) under Prosthecobacter gellanilyticus. Its description in RNAcentral is "Prosthecobacter sp. DC2c-30 tRNA". It matches the Rfam family "tRNA". Rfam says of the family: Transfer RNA (tRNA) molecules are approximately 80 nucleotides in length. RNAcentral also lists the same sequence under 2 other names. The record is from Rfam by way of RNAcentral. Lineage: Bacteria; Pseudomonadati; Verrucomicrobiota; Verrucomicrobiia; Verrucomicrobiales; Verrucomicrobiaceae.